UGAUAGCUGUGAAGCGUGAGGUUGCUGCCAGGCAAAAACAUAAGCCUGGACAGGUUUUCCGUGGAGCGAAUGUCAAGUUAGGAAACUGGCGACAA
RNAcentral lists this non-coding RNA (95 nucleotides) under uncultured Mediterraneibacter sp. RNAcentral's name for it is "S10-Clostridia ribosomal protein leader". It matches the Rfam family "S10-Clostridia ribosomal protein leader". The record is from RNAcentral. Lineage: Bacteria; Bacillati; Bacillota; Clostridia; Lachnospirales; Lachnospiraceae.